GAUGAACGCUGGCGGCGUGCCUAAUACAUGCAAGUCGAGCGAACAGACGAGGAGCUUGCUCCUCUGACGUUAGCGGCGGACGGGUGAGUAACACGUGGAUAACCUACCUAUAAGACUGGGAUAACUUCGGGAAACCGGAGCUAAUACCGGAUAAUAUAUUGAACCGCAUGGUUCAAGAGUGAAAGACGGUUUUGCUGUCACUUAUAGAUGGAUCCGCGCCGCAUUAACUAGUUGGUAAGGUAACGGCUUACCAAGGCAACGAUGCGUAGCCGACCUGAGAGGGUGAUCGGCCACACUGGAACUGAGAAACGGUCCAGACUCCUGCGGGAGGCCGCAGUAGGGAAUCUUCCGCAAAGGGCGAAAGCUUGACGGAGCAACGCCGCGUGAGUGAUGAAGGUCUUCGGAUCGUAAAACUCUGUUAUUAGGGAAGAACAAAUGUGUAAGUAACUAUGCACGUCUUGACGGUACCUAAUCAGAAAGCCACGGCUAACUACGUG
This 497-nucleotide ribosomal RNA is filed under the name uncultured bacterium. RNAcentral's name for it is "partial 16S ribosomal RNA". It matches the Rfam family "Bacterial small subunit ribosomal RNA", at positions 28 to 507 of the family's 1533-position model. The record is from RNAcentral.